This is a long non-coding RNA of Pavo cristatus (Indian peafowl), 4884 nucleotides long. The record is from Ensembl. NCBI's taxonomy places the organism in Eukaryota, Metazoa, Chordata, Aves, Galliformes, Phasianidae.
ACUGCAAGGUUCACAUACACAAUAGUUUAUGAAGAAAUAGUGUUUUCCAUUUAUUGCAGGUAUGAAGCUGUGAAGGGCCUGGAGCAUAUGUCUUAUGGGGAGCAGCUGAGGAAGCUGGGAUUGCUCAGUCUGGAGCAGAGGAGGCUCAGGGGAGACCUCGUUGCUCUCUACAACUCCUGAAAGGAGGAUGUGGUGAAGUGGGGGUUGGCCUCUGCCCCCAGGUAAGAGUGAUAGGACAAGAGGUGACGGCUUCAAGUUGUGCCAGAGGAGGUUCAGGUUGGAUAUUAGGAAACAUUUCUUCUCAAAUUGGUGAGAUAUUGGAGUGGGCUGCUCAGGGAGGUGGUGGAUCACCGUCCCUGGAAGUGUUCAAGAACAAUGGAGAUGUGGCAGUGAGGGCAGCCCAGGAUGAUGGCUGGACUAGAUGACCUUGGUGGUCUGUCCAACCUUAAUGAUUCUAUGAUUCUCCAAUCCGCCAGAAGCAGCUGCAGCUCUUGCACAGGCAAAUGAACUUGUGAUCUCACAUCAUGGGAGCACCUACGGAAUACAUACACAGAUUUUCUUCUUUAAAGCUAAGGGCGGUGCCUGAGGGCGGGGGUGCCGCUGCCCUCCCCGCGCUGAGGGGGCCGCGCAGCCGGCGGCCUAGCAUAAUACAGCAUAGCACAGCGUAGCACAACAUAGCAUAGCACUGCACUGCACUGCACUGCACUGCACUGCACUGCACAGCACAGCAGCCCGCGCCCCCGGGGAGCUGCGGGCGAGGGCGGGCGGCCCCCCUCCCCUGCCUCCCCGCCCCUGCCCUGCAUUGGCUGCGGGCGGCUGACGGGCAGCCGGGGAGGCCCCUGUCAGCCGGCCGCGGAGGGGCAUGCCUGCACUGGGGGUCCAGCCGCGCCGAGCCGAGCCGUGCCCAGGGCUGCCGAGCGGAGCCCAGCGCCGAGAUGGGGGUGGAGAUCGAGACCAUCUCUCCGGGAGACGGACGGACGUUCCCGAAGAAGGGGCAGACGUGUGUGGUGCACUACACAGGUAAGGCGUGUUCUGGUUGUUGUGUCCAUGCCAGCUGCCUUAUGCCCAGGAGUGCUGUAUCAGUUCAAUCAUGGCUGUUGGAUUUUUUGCUUUGUGCUGCCAUUCAUAAUGGAUUUAAUUGUGUUGUGAUGGAUUUCCUGAAUGUUUGACUUGUAGUUCAGGCUGCAGUAUCUAGAUGUGUGUGCUAGUGAAUUUGUCAGGAGUGGUGUUUAGUGGGGACAAGUUGACAGAUGAAUCUGCAGACCCGAUUCUUUAAGUCAUUCCAUGAGCAAAUGAAAUCGAGCAUGAAGCAGUGCAAAUGCCAGGUUUGUAUUUUUCCAGUCUCUGAUCUUGAUACAGACAAUUAAUGAUUGUUUAUAUCUUAAAAGAAUCCGUGUAUUGGCAGUAGAAUUCAUUCCAGUUUGAAGAGAUCAAUUCAAGGUCUGCUUAACACCUGCUUUAUGGGUGUGCAUGAAUCUUAAGCGGUGAGUUAGCUGAUGGAGCUGUUUAUGCUGCACCUUUGCACAGAGGGAAAAUGUCCUUUAAAUCAGUUUGCAGUGUUGUCUUUUGUAUUUAGUUAUGUAAAUCGUCCAAAAAAGACUUCUGCAGCCCGAAAGCUGCCAUUUCAUGAGGUCUUUUCCUUAGAAUGUAAAACAUCACUAUUUUCACUAGAUACAAUUAAUGAAGNGACAGAGGAACAGGUUGCCCAGUGAGGCUGUGGAUGCCCCCUCCACGGAAGCACUGAAGGCCAGGCUGGAUGGGACUUUGAGCAACCUGGUCUAGGGGGUCCCUGCCUAUAGCAGGGGGUUGGAACUAGAUGGUCUUAAAGGUCCCUUCCAACCCAAACCAUUCUAUGAUUCUAUGAGAGUCAAAUAAGGGAGUGGGCUUUGGGCUCUAUUUUGCCUUACUUCCCCAUCUUGCCUUCCCUCGAGUCCCAUAGAUGCCCAUUCUCCAUGGGAUGAGGAGUGAUGGCAGAGAGAGCACAGGCAGGAGCAGGCUACUACUGCAAAAGUGAAAGGCCUGUGAAUUGAUUCUGAAACACAUCUGGGAGAAAGGGUUUUAGGAGCAAGCUGUCUGUAUGAGUUGUCCUGACAGUCCAUCUGCAGCAGGUGAGAGGCUGAGCAUCCCAGUGCAAUGCAGCAAAUGUCCAGAGAGGACCACAGUCUGUUAUCCUCCAUAUUUGGCAGAGCUUCACAGUCCUGGCUGGUCACCCUCUGUAUUGUUUGAUUCGUGCACCUUCAAGGUAGAGAUUCACCAGAGGAGUUUCUAGUCUGACAACCCUGAGAACAGGGAAGUGAGAACUGGAAUCUCCUCCAGAUGAGGGAGAACUGUGAGUUUUACACUUUUUCUGCCAGUACUUCAGCUAUCAGGCUGUUACAUGUGGCAGCUUUGCCUCUUUCUCUCCAAUUAGAUGCAUAACCCCAGGAGCAGGCAUUGUGGUCUGACUCACAAACACAUUGUGAUGCCUCGAUGAACAAGACUAAGUUCCAGUGGCAGCAGGAGGUAAGGUGCAACUUCAUUAGGGAACAGAUUAGAAGGAACAUCCUGUUUAAGCAAAUAUUUUUUUUCUUCCUCCCUUAGGAGUAACUCCUGGCUGUGUUCAAUUAGAGCAGGAUUUUUGGAUUACCCUUCAGGAGUACCUAAUUGCCCUUCCAUAAGGCGCCUUAGAGCCUAACUUGGUACUGUAAAUCACCUGCUAAUUUUUCAGCUUGGCACAGCCUUAGUUAAGUACACAAAUAGGUGAUUAGAUAGGAAGACUGGGAGAGAAUAUGAAACCGGGUCCUGAUCUUUUUCUGUGACGAGAAUAUGCUCAGAUCUCCAUAUCUUUGUUAAGAAAUAUAACUAAUAUAACCAUUUUUUUUUGAUCAUCCAGCAUCUACAUUGUGUCUCAAAAGCAACCUGACACAGCAAAGUAAUGAGAUUAGUGGAUAUGGCAGUGAGUUGGCACCGAAAUGCAUUUCCAGCAGCGAUGGUUUAUGUCAUGCUUUUGUCAUAGAUUUCCUUGAGCAAGCUUCUGAAAGCUUUUGGCAGUCUGCUCACUCCUUCUGUUUUCUGUCUGCAAAAUGAUUGUAGUACUUUGUCUGCCUUGUGGAGAUAGAUUGCCAGCAAUUUGGGGUAUGGACUGCCUCCUUCCUCGUGCCUAAUGUAAUGGCCUCCUAAUCUUGAUUGGGUCUUCGGGUUAUGUUGCAGCAGUGAUAGCAAUGCCAGUAAACAAAUUACAGUAUCAUUAGUCCUGGAGUGUAUCAACAGAGCUGAGCCAUUUGCUGCUGUUUUCUUUCCUGUGAUUUUUAAAUUUAUUGACUCUGGGAGCAGGAAUCAGCAGUGCCGAAUUUUCAAAGAUUGGUGAAGAUGAUGCAGCCUGUGGCUUUUGGUGAGAAAUGGCCCUGAAGAUGACAGAAUCUUUGCUGGGCUUGUGAGCGUUUUGACUGUGUGGUCAAACCUUCAUCCUGGGAAGGUGAUUUCUGGCCCUCCUGCUCUUGGUGGUGUGCCCUCAAAGCAUAGAAUCAUAGAAUCAUAAGGUUGAAAAGGACCUGCAAGAUCAUCUAAUCCAACCGUCCUCCCAUUACNCCAUUCCCCCUUGUCCUAUCACUAUCCACCCUCAUGAACAGCUGUUCCCCUUCCUGAACUGACAUUCUCUGGUAGUUUGUGGUAAAGGUGAAUUCGUAACCUUGUCUUUGUCCUCCUUGCCCACAUGUGUAUCUGUGUUAAUGCAAUUACCCUCUUAAAGAAGAAACUGGACAUUCAGCAUUUGUAGUGUGCUGCAACAGAUCUCUUGGAGUAAGACCAUCAAGGCACAUUAAAUCAUUAAUUACUAAACCAAACUUCUAUAAAAGAAGGUUUUCCUUGGACUUCUUAGGUCCAGGCAGUGACCACAAAAUUACACUAUACACUAAGAAAUUGAUUUUAUGUUAUUCCCUAUUCGAGUGUUAGAAUACUACUCCAUUUACUUCAGAUAUGCUGUACAGAUGGAUUCUGUCUUAGGAAGCAGAACAAAAGAUGACUUGUUCUUUUCCUAACCAUCUGGGGACAGGCUCGGAUCUUCUUUUUUCCACGUGUUACCAAAUUGUUUUGUGUUAUUUAUUUUUGUUUCUUCAGCUUUGCCAGUGCUGUGAUGCUGUGAGAGUUAUGCUUGCAUCUGUGUAGUUGAAAGCCUUUUCUUUUUAAUACCUUUUUUAAUAACAAAAGCAGACUGCAUAGAUUUAUAGAACAUGCCUGAUUUACUGUGAUGUAAAAUGCAUCUCCACUUAACUCGAUACAAACAUAAUGCAAUUCCUUUGCAAUAACACUUGCCAAAAAGAAAAGAGAUCUGCCUCUAUUUCUUGGAUCGAAAUCAACCCAGCGUAAAACGUAUGCAGUAAUAGCCAGACAUUUGCCAAAAUGCUCUCAAAGAGACUGAUGUAAAUCCAGAAUAACAUUGCAGAGUGUCAUAUACUCAUCUAUGAACCUAGGUAUCUGUAUGGUUGGUGUACACCAGCUUAGUGUGGGAGUGCUUUGUGCCAGGUGAGCAUAGGGUUGUGCUACUUUUCUGGUCCCAUGUUCUGAAAAAUCUGCACAACUUCUGUGAGACCCAGAUAAAUCUGUGAGGAAACGACAGAAGGAAUUCAAUCAAAAUUAUUUGUCUCCAGAAAACUGUCUUGGUGGUUUUGGGAGAAAUAGUGAACAACACAAUUAGAGCUAUGAUUAAGAAGAACUGUAUUUUAACAGACACUAUAAUUGAGUCUUGAAUUAGAGCCAGCUAAAUCUUGCUUACCUAGAAAGAAUGUAAUUGUUUUAUCGAGCACGUUCACAAGAUACAUUCUUCCAGGAGAGUCAGAUGUCUGUCCAUCCUUUGGGGCCUGCCAAUGCCUGGAUGUUUUUGACUUGAAGCAAUCUCUCCAAAUUGCC